Molecule: long non-coding RNA, 896 nt
Organism: Salvia splendens (bonfire salvia)
Lineage: Eukaryota; Viridiplantae; Streptophyta; Magnoliopsida; Lamiales; Lamiaceae
Exons: 2
Source: RefSeq, a predicted model, not a curated record
UUUCAAAUGUUUCAGCACCACCAGGAAAGUUAUCAAGCUUGACAUCGCAGCAUGCAUCUGAAAUCUGGGGCCGGAGCUCUAUUCGGCUGAAGUAGCCACACUUGGAGAUCAGUGGAUACUGUUUCAGGAAGAUAUUGAUGAGAUCUGUUGGAAUCUGAGACAUGGCAAGCCUGCGCAAGUAUAACCACGUUGGUGAGUUAGAGCUAUGGAUGAAACAUGUUGAGCAGCAAUAGAUCUAACCACAAUUAUAUUCAUGAUGUUUCUGUGUCUGAUAAGAAUAAUGGGAUCACAGAGAGGUUACCAUGAAUGUUCUUUCUUCUCAAAACCGCAGUCUGCUUCUGCUGCAAUGAAUUUUGAGGGAACUAUUACCCGUCGAUCCUCUUCUGAGGUGAUACCAUCCGAGUUGCUUGCUAGGGUCUGUUCCAUAGAAAUUUCCAUCUUCUUUCGGCCGUUGCUGCAUACUAGUGAUGAUGCUUAUCGUGUUUUAUCGACAAAGGGGUGAGUAAAUUGAAGGAGUGGGGCAAGGAGUGAGUUAAUGUGUGAGAAGGAAGUUUGUGGAUGAAGGAAGUUGUGCCAUUAAAGGAGGUUGUUGAGGUGGGAUUUCUUGAACAGCUUCAUAAGAUUCAGUGUCACUUAGAUUUUGGACUAAAAGGGUCCAAAAUGUGUUUGUAUGGACACAAGGAAUGUUGCUUCAGAGUUGUGACGAGUCUCAUUCACAUUUGGGUGGCUUAGUGGAUACUAUAGUAUUGCUCCAUUUAGUCCUAUUAAAUGUCUCAUAUUUGACCUAUGAGAGUUUUAAGAAAUUGUUUGACUUUGUAAAGGUGUAUGGGUGAAAAAGUAAGUGAAAUUUGGACCUCACUUUUAGUAUAUUAGUUUUAUAAUAAUUGCGAGUAGAA